Molecule: long non-coding RNA, 2379 nt
Organism: Glycine soja
Lineage: Eukaryota; Viridiplantae; Streptophyta; Magnoliopsida; Fabales; Fabaceae
Exons: 4
Source: RefSeq, a predicted model, not a curated record
UUACCCUCCAGAAAAUAUGCAUGGCCUGUGACAUUCAUUGAAAGACAUUGAUUGAUAGACAACCCCCACCACUAUUCAAUAUUAAAUCUCGCCAUUUAUUUUUUACUGCAUUUUAAGUCUAUUGUUCACAUGACAAUACACGGUAAUUAUUGUACGUCUCAGAUUACAAUCCACUUGAUUAUUAUCCUACAUAAUUUACAACUUUUGAUUCCCAAUGCUACCAUCCAUCCUGUCUCAUCAUAAAACAAGACUGACAAAAUUUCAUCAUUAACGUACAUAAGUAUAAGUAUAUGCUAUUAUGCAAAAUGAAUAUACACAAUUUAGGGAAGCGUAAAAGACAAAUACUAAACAAACAUUAAUAACUAUUCGUUGUAACUAUUCACCACCAAACUUAAGACCGGACUUCGAGGGGUCACAACUUAUUUGGUGUCUUUCCAAUAAUCACUACUAUAUAUUUAUAUUUAUUAUAUUCAUUGUAACUUCUUCCAUUUGUGUGAAACCUUCAACUUCCACACGACAACAUGAGUACAUUGGCAUCUUCCUCUAUUCCAGUAAGUUUCUUUCACUUUACUAGACUUCAUUUUAACCUUAUGACUAUCUGUUCCAGUAUGACCCUUCAUAUAUUUCUUCUUUUCCUCUAUCAUUAAUCUUUCACAUUGGUAUUACUGCAUAAUUCUUCUUUUCCCAAACUUGGCACCUGAUGAAGCUAUGGAGUUUAUUGAAAACAUGGCAGCCAGUGACCAUGCCAUCCUUUGUGAUUGAGCUUACAUGCCUACAAAGAAGAGUCUUCUUGAGUUCACAUCACAAGACACACUACUAGAUUAAAACAAGCUCCUAGACAAGCAACUAGAGACCCUCACAGAAAUGAUGAGCAAGCUUCCUCAACAAUUGCAUGUAGUGCAACAUCUUUGGAGGGGCCCAUGAGUUAGGCAUGUGCAUGGCCUAAGAUGAUUCAUCCAAAGAAGUAAACUACAUGGCCAAUCCCAAUUGUCAAGGGUUCCAUCACAGAGGACCUUCUGGCUACAAUCAAGGGGGAAAUUUUUCUCAAGGCCAAGGUUGGAGAUCCCAUCAUGGGAAUAACUUCAACAAGGAUCAAGGUGGCCCAUCCAUCCGACCUUCUAAUCAAGGGCCCAACAUGUAUGAGAGGACCACCAAGCUAGAAGACACUCUAACUCAGUUUAUGCAAGUGUCAUUAUCAAAUCACAAGAGCACUGAGUUUGCCAUCAAGAAUCUAGAGGUGCAAGUGGAUCAACUAGCCAAGCAACUGGUUGAAAGGUCCACAGGGAGUUUUGUGGCCAACACUAAGAAGAAUCCCAAGGAAGAAUGCAAGACAAUCCUUACCAGAAGCUAGAGGAGGGAGAAUGUAGAGAGAAAAAAGAGCAAUGAGGGAGCAUUGGAGUAGGUGAGUAAUGAGGAAAGAGAGACUAAAAAGAGAGAAGAGGGUGAUGAAGAGAAAGAAGAGAGCAAGGAAAUGGGUGGAAAGGUCUUAUCCACUAAGACCAACAAUUACUGCAACCAAACUUACACAUAUCCUCUUUACCCCACAAACAUUACUGCAACCAAACUUACACAUAUCCUCCUCUUUAUGUGGCCCCUCCCAUUGGAUGCCAAAAACCUGAUUUUUAGCUCCAUUUCGUGUUGACAAGAACAUUAUUGAGGUUCCUUUGUCUUACCAUACACAAUGGCGGCCAUAUUACCCAACUUAUGUUUUAUUUGACUAUAACGGAAGCAAACAUUUUGUUAGGGUGCGGAAAUAUGACACCCGAUAUUUUUUUGCUGAUGGUUUGAAAGAAUUUCGGAGGACCCACGACAUUAACGACAAUGUCAUUAUCCGGUUUUUUGCUCCCGACAAAAAUACCUCUUUCGAGGUUGAUGUCAUCGGACCUAUCCAUGGGCAAUCACGGGGAAGGUCAGUGGUUACCACCAGAAGACACAUCUUUACAAUUGAUAUCACACAAGACAUGGUGCACCACAACUUGCCUUUGGUUCUUCCAACAACAACUUCAAAUUUUUUGUUUGGCUCAAAAAAGUAUAUUCCCGUCCACCGUGGUUAUGAUAAACGUAACCAGUGGCAGAUCACCAUUCAUGAUGGUCUGCCAUCCCUUGCAGAGCCAUGGUUCCAGUACCUCUCUCAAUAUAACUUAAUGCCUGGAGAUGAAGUUCUAUUCUUCUUCAGGUUUGAUGAACAUGCGUGGAAAAUCCUAUUUAGGAAAGAAGUUAUAUGGGAUGACACCCUUUCUAGUUGAAGACCAUCCCACAAACAAUUAUAUUUUUUUUGUUUUUAUUUCAUUUAUAUUUUGCUUAAUUUUGUUAAUCAAAUAGCUUAGGGUAUCAUAGAUUUUCUUUCCCUUCAACCUUAACUUAUGAACAUAUGUUGAU